Molecule: ribosomal RNA, 253 nt
Filed under: uncultured bacterium
Lineage: Bacteria
Description: partial 16S ribosomal RNA
Rfam family: Bacterial small subunit ribosomal RNA
Source: RNAcentral
UACGGAGGGUGCGAGCGUUGUCCGGAAUCAUUGGGCGUAAAGGGCGCGUAGGCGGCUUCCUAAGUGUGCGGUGAAAGCCCUGGGCUCAACCUAGGAAGUGCAUUCGAAACUGCGAAGCUUGAGUCCUGGAGAGGAAGGCGGAAUUCUCGGUGUAGAGGUGAAAUUCGUAGAUAUCGAGAGGAACACCGGUGGCGAAGGCGGCCUUCUGGACAGUGACUGACGCUGAGACGCGAAAGCGUGGGGAGCAAACAGG